Molecule: long non-coding RNA, 243 nt
Filed under: Solanum tuberosum (potato)
Lineage: Eukaryota; Viridiplantae; Streptophyta; Magnoliopsida; Solanales; Solanaceae
Description: long non-coding RNA (STUB_LNC008796)
Source: RNAcentral
CUUUUAAUAUUGCUAGUUCUUUUUCUAGUUCUAUUAUUUUAGUAUUUUUUACUUCUUCUAAUUGUUGUACUUUCUUUUUUGCUUGUUGUUUUAUUUUUUCAAUUUCCGUUUUUCUAUCUAUUUCUUCAUUUUCUUUUGUUAUUCUUAUCAUAGCAGUUAAACUAUCUUCUAGUUUUACCGUUUCUUUUUCUAACAUUAAACUUAGAUUAUCACCUAUUUUCUUAUAUCUUCUUCCUAGAUUAG